GGUGAGAUGGCCGAGUUGGUUAUGGCGCCAGGUUAAGGUUACCUUAACAUUAAUUCCUGGUCACGAAAGUGGCGUGGGUUCGAGUCCCACUCUCAUCA
Molecule: transfer RNA, 98 nt
Filed under: Massarina eburnea CBS 473.64
Lineage: Eukaryota; Fungi; Ascomycota; Dothideomycetes; Pleosporales; Massarinaceae
Rfam family: tRNA
About the family: Transfer RNA (tRNA) molecules are approximately 80 nucleotides in length.
Source: Rfam by way of RNAcentral